RNAcentral lists this ribosomal RNA (68 nucleotides) under Pestalotiopsis cocculi. Its description in RNAcentral is "partial 28S ribosomal RNA". The stretch from base 12 to 68 matches the Rfam family "Eukaryotic large subunit ribosomal RNA", at positions 1 to 57 of the family's 3401-position model. Lineage: Eukaryota; Fungi; Ascomycota; Sordariomycetes; Amphisphaeriales; Sporocadaceae. The record is from RNAcentral.
UUUUUAAUGGUUGACCUCGGAUCAGGUAGGAAUACCCGCUGAACUUAAGCAUAUCAAUAAGCGGAGGA